Molecule: ribosomal RNA, 467 nt
Filed under: uncultured bacterium
Lineage: Bacteria
Description: partial 16S ribosomal RNA
Rfam family: Bacterial small subunit ribosomal RNA
Source: RNAcentral
GACGAACGCUGGCGGCGUGCUUAACACAUGCAAGUCGAACGGAAAGGCCUCUUUCGGGGGGUACUCGAGUGGCGAACGGGUGAGUAACACGUGAGUAACCUGCCCUUGACUUUGGGAUAACUUCAGGAAACUGGGGCUAAUACCGGAUAGGAGCUCCUGCUGCAUGGUGGGGGUUGGAAAGUUUCGGCGGUUGGGGAUGGACUCGCGGCUUAUCAGCUUGUUGGUGGGGUAGUGGCUUACCAAGGCUUUGACGGGUAGCCGGCCUGAGAGGGUGACCGGCCACAUUGGGACUGAGAUACGGCCCAGACUCCUACGGGAGGCAGCAGUGGGGAAUAUUGCACAAUGGGUGGAAGCCUGAUGCAGCAACGCCGGGUGCGGGAUGACGGCCUUCGGGUUGUAAACCGCUUUCGCUCAUGACGAAGCUUUGUGUGACGGUAGUGGGUAAAGAAGCACCGGCUAACUACGUG